AACAUUUAUAUAUCGUAUUUUCAUAUAAUCGCAGGGAUAUGGCCUGCAAGUUUCUACCGGUUUACCGUAAAUGAACCGACUAUGAAAAAAGCAAUAGUAUGG
This 102-nucleotide non-coding RNA is filed under the name Halobacillus karajensis. RNAcentral describes it as "Guanine sequence". It matches the Rfam family "Purine riboswitch aptamer". Rfam says of the family: Riboswitches are metabolite binding domains within certain messenger RNAs that serve as precision sensors for their corresponding targets. Allosteric rearrangement of mRNA structure is mediated by ligand binding, and this results in modulation of gene expression. A class of riboswitches that selectively recognises guanine and becomes saturated at concentrations as low as 5 nM. The record is from Rfam by way of RNAcentral. Lineage: Bacteria; Bacillati; Bacillota; Bacilli; Caryophanales; Bacillaceae.